AGAGUUUGAUCAUGGCUCAGAUUGAACGCUGGCGGCAGGCCUAACACAUGCAAGUCGAACGGUAACAGGAAGCAGCUUGCUGCUUCGCUGACGAGUGGCGGACGGGUGAGUAAUGUCUGGGAAACUGCCUGAUGGAGGGGGAUAACUACUGGAAACGGUGGCUAAUACCGCAUAACGUCGCAAGACCAAAGAGGGGGACCUUCGGGCCUCUUGCCAUCAGAUGUGCCCAGAUGGGAUUAGCUAGUUGGUGAGGUAACGGCUCACCAAGGCGACGAUCCCUAGCUGGUCUGAGAGGAUGACCAGCCACACUGGAACUGAGACACGGUCCAGACUCCUACGGGAGGCAGCAGUGGGGAAUAUUGCACAAUGGGCGCAAGCCUGAUGCAGCCAUGCCGCGUGUAUGAAGAAGGCCUUCGGGUUGUAAAGUACUUUCAGCGGGGAGGAAGGUGUUGUGGUUAAUAACCGCAGCAAUUGACGUUACCCGCAGAAGAAGCACCGGCUAACUCCGUGCCAGCAGCCGCGGUAAUACGGAGGGUGCAAGCGUUAAUCGGAAUUACUGGGCGUAAAGCGCACGCAGGCGGUCUGUCAAGUCGGAUGUGAAAUCCCCGGGCUCAACCUGGGAACUGCAUUCGAAACUGGCAGGCUUGAGUCUUGUAGAGGGGGGUAGAAUUCCAGGUGUAGCGGUGNAAAUUAUUUUAAAUUUCCUCUUGUCAGGCAGAAAUAACUCCCUAUAAUGCGCCACCACUGACACGGAACAACGGCACACAGGCCGCCGGGUCAGCGGGGUUCAGACCAGAACCUCACGGAGAAAAGCGAAAAUAAACGCUUGACUCUGAAGCGGGAAAGCGUAAUAUGCACACCCCGCGCCGCUGAGAAAAAGCGAAGCGGCACUGCUCUUUAACAAUUUAUCAGACAAUCUGUGUGGGCACUCGAAGAUACGGAUUCUUAACGUCCUAGGACGAAAAAUGAAUACCAAGUCUCAAGAGUGAACACGUAAUUCAUUACGAAGUUUAAUUCUUUGAGCAUCAAACUUUU
This 1035-nucleotide ribosomal RNA is filed under the name Salmonella enterica subsp. enterica serovar Typhimurium str. DT104. RNAcentral's name for it is "bacterial SSU rRNA". The stretch from base 2 to 774 matches the Rfam family "Bacterial small subunit ribosomal RNA", at positions 9 to 873 of the family's 1533-position model. The record is from RNAcentral. Lineage: Bacteria; Pseudomonadati; Pseudomonadota; Gammaproteobacteria; Enterobacterales; Enterobacteriaceae.